GUCUCUUAUUGAGCUGUGGGAUUUUUAUUCAGCUUUAUGAUCACUUCAAACAGUGUUCCUGGAGAGCACAGAAAUACUUUGCUGAAUCCUCCAGCUAUAAGGUUGAAAUGGUGAAGUUGAUGGAUUUAGCUGAUUUCUGGAAGUUUGUAGAAUAGCAACCAUUCUUUGUGUUCUUGCCAAAAGAACUCUGAUGAACAAGGAGAGUGAUCUCUCCACUGGGAGGCUGCAUGUACCAAAAAAUAUAUCAUGUGCUCUGCAUUGUUUCAUACAGACAGAUCAAGGGUAACUGGGCUGCUGAACCUGUUACAUGGAUGUGGCCAGCUGGACAUGAGUAACACCCUGGGCCACACUGGAUCGUGAGGGAAACAUCCGAAAACAGAGCUGAUGUGAAGCUGCGUUGCCCGCAAGAGAAGCCACAAAGUCCACGGCAACGGUUCACGCCACUCACGGGGCAGCAAAGCUCUACCCCAGGCAUGACAGACUGAGAAUACUGGGCCCCUGUUGCACUCACCCCAGCUCCCUCAUUGAGUGGUGCUUCCAUGCUGGGAAAGCUGGAACAUCCAUCUUUUUCUGCUGUCAGACCAUGGAGAUCCUGGUUCUCGGGCCUUUGGACAUGGAGGGAAUUAUACCACUGGCUUUCUUGGUCUUCCAGCUUGAGAUGGCAGACUGGGGCUUCUUGGCCUCUCUAAUGGAAUAACAGGUGGACAGAGUGAGAUGAGAAUACCAGCACGAAGCAGUUGAAGAAAUAUGUCCUGGAGAAUGUUGGAUGAGAAGGAAGAGAAAAUAGCAAAUGAGACAGAAGACUAUGAAGGAACUGAAGGAACAGAUGUUAUUAAAGAACAGAUUUGGUGAGAGUAACUACAUGAGGACAAUCAAAACAGAUAAUUGUCAUCUGAGAAGGUAGGGCUUCAGAAAUGGAAAAGUUCUGGUUAAUGACUAGUGGCAUGGCUAGCUUAUUUGACAUCUGGAUCAAAUAAAGUUUAAGACUCUUUUUCACUAUACACAAAAAUGUUUCAUAAUUAUCAUGGUAUAUUUAGGAAAAGACAUUUUCUUGGUGCAUUCUUUAGUUUUUAAUGUAAAUAAUUAACAACUUAAUAAAGAAGAUAUUUCAGUGUUUAGAAUAUUAUUCAAAUUCAAUAAAUCAUUUAUUUAUGACUUAAAUUGGCACUUAAAAAUAUUACCCCUUCUGGGGCACCUCAGUGGCUCAGUCAGUUAAGCAUCCGACUCUUGAUUUUGGUUCAGGUCAUGAUCUCAUGGUUCCUGGGAUC
This is a long non-coding RNA of Leopardus geoffroyi (Geoffroy's cat), 1268 nucleotides long. RefSeq lists it as uncharacterized. The transcript is spliced from 4 exons. The record is from RefSeq and is a predicted model, not a curated record. Lineage: Eukaryota; Metazoa; Chordata; Mammalia; Carnivora; Felidae.